Molecule: ribosomal RNA, 445 nt
Filed under: uncultured bacterium
Lineage: Bacteria
Description: bacterial SSU rRNA
Rfam family: Bacterial small subunit ribosomal RNA
Source: RNAcentral
GAACGGUAAAUAUUGUAGCAAUACAAUAUGAGAGUGACGUACGGGUGCGUAACACGUAUGCAACCUACCCAAAACUGGAGUAUAGCUCGGGGAAACCCGAAUUAACCCUUCAUAGUACUACUGGAUGGCAUCAUUUGGUAGUUAAAACUCAGGUGGUUUUGGAUGGGCAUGCGUCUGAUUAGCUAGUUGGCGGGGUAAAGGCCCACCAAGGCGAUGAUCAGUAGGGGAACUGAGAGGUUGAUCCCCCACACUGGCACUGAGAUACGGGCCAGACUCCUACGGGAGGCAGCAGUAGGGAAUAUUGGUCAAUGGAUGCAAGUCUGAACCAGCCAUGCCGCGUGCAGGAAGAAGGCCUUCUGGGUUGUAAACUGCUUUUGUCAGGGGACUAAAUGGGCGUGCGCGCUUAANUGAAGGUACCUGGCGAAUAGACCCGGCUAACUACGUG